GCAAGUCGAGCGAUGAACUCUUGACAGAACCCUUCGGGGUGAAGAUAAGUUGGAUUAGCGGCGGACGGGUGCGUAACACGUGAGUAACCUGCCUUAGACAUUGGGAUAGCCUCGGGAAACCGGGAUUAAUACCAAAUGAAAUCACAUAUGCACAUACAUAAAUGAUCAAAGCUCCGGCGGUCUAAGAUGGACUCGCGUCCCAUUAGCUAGUUGGUGAGGUAACGGCCCACCAAGGCGACGAUGGGUAGCCGGCCUGAGAGGGUGAAC
Molecule: ribosomal RNA, 267 nt
Filed under: uncultured bacterium
Lineage: Bacteria
Description: partial 16S ribosomal RNA
Rfam family: Bacterial small subunit ribosomal RNA
Source: RNAcentral